RNAcentral lists this long non-coding RNA (1197 nucleotides) under Brassica napus (rape). RNAcentral's name for it is "long non-coding RNA (BNAP_LNC017985)". The record is from RNAcentral. Lineage: Eukaryota; Viridiplantae; Streptophyta; Magnoliopsida; Brassicales; Brassicaceae.
UGGGAUUGGACCUCCAUUUGGUAAGCCCGCAAAAUUGCGGGCCCCACGGAACGGAUCGAAAGCGGGAUGGGCUACAUGUUAACCUGCGGGAUUUUGAAGACCCGCAACCCUAAGUCCCCAUUUCUGCUUUCAUCUAAGAGAGAGAGAGAGAGAGGCGAUUCGACGUUAUGUAGCUCCAGUGACAGUAGUUUCAGGGUCGAUGAUGUUUCUGGUCUCCCAAGCGCCUUCGAUCUGUACCGGUGGAGCUUCUUUAAGUCAUCAAAAGAAAUUUGAAAACUCACUUUCCACGGAAGAAGAAGAUCUAGUUCCCGCAAUGAGUUCUUCAUAGUUUUGAUUAUAUGUAUUUGUUCACAUUAUCAUAUAUUUUGGAGUUUUAGGUUUCAAUAUAUCUUUAACUGACUUCUAUUAUUCUUAUUCGCAGAAGAUGAAGUUGAUGGUGAAGAAGAGAAAUCUUCAUUUUUUUGUCGCUCGUUGGUGAUAAAGAUGAGGAACAAGAAGUCUGAUUGGUGUUUUCUUUUUAUUUCUUUUUGGGAUUAGCAUCUUUGAUAUGAUGUUGUUUUUAUUUAAUUUUGGAUUCAGAAAACUAAAGCAUUUGUUAUGAACUUAUGAGUUACAAUAUUUGGAUUUAGCAACUAAAGUAUUAUUUAUUUUUAAAAUGUUUGGAGUCUAACAAAAGUAAAUAAACCUUAUCCAGUUUAAUCCUUGACUAAAUUCACUUACUAAUGCGUCAUGAAACUGAUAAAGCGUCAUCAAUCAUGUAUUGAAGCGUUCAGGAGCCAUAUGUUUGUUUGUAAUUCUAUGUCUCGCGGGCCGAUCUGCAAAGGCCUACGUGUUUUGCGGUACGAGUUUGGUCAGCCAUUUUGAAGACCGCAGCCCGCACCGGCCUGACCCGCCGUGACCCGCUCAAAGACAAGCCCGCUGCAGUACGGGACAGGAUGAGACUGAUCAACCUGUUUGACAUUCCUACAUACCACAACAAUGCAGCAUGUCAUAACAAUUUAAAAUCAAAAACAAAGAAAAAACUCAAGAUUGAUGACAUUAAAGGAACUCAAAUCAAAUCAGAAAUUGCGACGUCACCUUGUUGUCCUCUACGGUGUCAUUCUCUCUUCCAAACUUAAUUCCGAAAGCCCAGAAUCCUUGCUCCUUCCUCAACGCUUGAGACCUCAUAAGUUCUCUUCUUCACAAAAAUCGUUUGCG